GAUGAACGCUGGCGGCGUGCUUAACACAUGCAAGUCGAACGAGAAAUGUAGACGGAAACCUUCGGGCGGAAGCCUUCAUUUCGAGUGGCGGACGGGUGAGUAACGCGUGGGUAACCUGCCUCAUACAGGGGGAUAACAGUUGGAAACGACUGUUAAUACCGCAUAAGACCACAGCAUCGCAUGAUGCGGGGGUAAAAACUCCGGUGGUAUGAGAUGGACCCGCGUUCGAUUAGCCAGUUGGCGGGGUAACGGCCCACCAAAGCGACGAUCGAUAGCCGAUCUGAGAGGAUGACCGGCCACAUUGGGACUGAGACACGGCCCAAACUCCUACGGGAGGCAGCAGUGGGGAAUAUUGCACAAUGGGGGAAACCCUGAUGCAGCGACGCCGCGUGUGUGAAGAAGUACUUCGGUAUGUAAAGCUCUAUCAGCAGGGAAGAAAAUGGCGGUACCUGAGGAAGAAGCCCCGGCUAACUACGUG
This 478-nucleotide ribosomal RNA is filed under the name uncultured bacterium. RNAcentral describes it as "partial 16S ribosomal RNA". It matches the Rfam family "Bacterial small subunit ribosomal RNA", at positions 28 to 507 of the family's 1533-position model. The record is from RNAcentral.